GGUGUUGCACCACAUCCUCAUCGCUGUUGUCCAAUUCCUCAGGCGGGGCCAGCAGGUCUUCCUCAAGCCGGACGAACCGCCGCCGCAGCCAUGCGCCGACAGCCUGCAGCCAGCCAGGACCCCCUUGCACAGAAGCCAGAGCCCCCAGGGAGUAGAGACGACCGACUGGAGGAUGCUUUGCUGAGCCUGGGCGCCGUUAUCGACAUCGCGGGCCUUCGACAGGCUGCCAAGGAUGCCCUCUCGGCCGUGCUCCCCAAAGUGGAGACUGUCUACACCUACCUGGUAGAUGGGGAGUCCAGGCUGGUGUGUGAGGACCCCCCUCAUGA
RNAcentral lists this long non-coding RNA (326 nucleotides) under Rattus norvegicus (Norway rat). RNAcentral describes it as "long non-coding RNA NONRATT001034". The record is from RNAcentral. Lineage: Eukaryota; Metazoa; Chordata; Mammalia; Rodentia; Muridae.